This is a long non-coding RNA of Gasterosteus aculeatus aculeatus (three-spined stickleback), 1416 nucleotides long. Lineage: Eukaryota; Metazoa; Chordata; Actinopteri; Perciformes; Gasterosteidae. The record is from Ensembl.
UUUGUGGAUCUAUGCUGUUAAAAUGGCCUCGCUGAACUCCUGCAUUGGGCUGGAUUAAUGAAGAGGUUCCUUUUUUGAUAUGUGUGUAUUAGCUUCCUCAUCCUGUGUUCCCUGUGUAUUGUGGGCCAAGAGGAUAUCUGACUGCGGAAUAUGCCAGACAACCAGACACAGGUAUUAUUGCAGUGUGUGGCACAUCGGCCAUCGACCUGGCUGUCUACACCGGAUACAACUUACUGAUCCUCAACCAGAUCCGGGACAAUGUGGACUGUGAGGUGAUGCUCACCUCAGUGAACCCUCCUGCCUCCCAGACAGAGAGGGAAAAGCAUGUGGGAGUAACUGAUUGUGUGCUCUUCAAAUGUGGAACUUUUAGAUGGCGCUCCAUAGAUCACCACCAUGCCAGAGAACGGUGCAGCCAAAAGGCUCGCUUCUACUUGCCGGCUUUCUGCUUCAUUGAGCGACUGAAUGACACCAUUUCCAACUGGAACCUACUGCACCUGCAGCACACCUGCAGCACCUCAAGCGGUGCAGCAGGAAGAGGAGUGUGGGGCACAGUUGGUUGCAUCACACAGUGGUCUUUGCUCACAUGCACCAUGAAGAGCAAGGCAGAGAGCUGUACCUUCAAUUUGCAUCUUUUUUUGUGUGCAGAUGAAUAGAUAAAGGAGUCGGAUAAAAGUCCUGCACUCUUACUAAGUGUUAAUAAAAGUAAGCAUUAGAUGUUUUUUAAAGCGAUGUUUAUGUACCGCACAUGUUUAUCAGGCAUCGUCAGGUAAAGAAGUCACAUGACAUUGUAAUAUGCACAAUUAAAAGAAUAGUUGGACAAUAUUUCGUGAAAUGCACCAAAUAACCUUCUGGUUGAGACAGAAAUGUAAGGAUCAAUAACACUGUGAAGAGUGGAAUCGAAAGCUACAGUCUGCAGCCAGAUCGCUAAAGACUGGAAUGUUUGCGCAGAUCAAUGUAAUAAGAUGUCUGAAGCAAAGAUACAAAGGGAAAGAUGAAUUGCUGGACAUGACCUUUCUACUUUUGUGUUCACACCAAUGUUACAUCCUGCACAGAAACCAUAAUUUAUAAUAAAAUAUUAAAUAAAUGAUGUAUAAUUUAUUUUUCUGGUUUUCUUUAUGGAUUAAACAAGCAAGAUUUCAUAUGUUAAGUAGUGAGUUGUAGAGAUGCUGAUGGAUGGAUUUUUUACUGUGGACGGAGACAGUCAAGCUCUUUCUCUUUGUUUACAGAUUUCUCGCUACACUAAACUAAGUGGCUGCUGUCUGUAACUUGCUAUUUGUGAUCCAUCUCUUGGCAAGGAAGGGAAAAAAGCCAUGAAAAAAGCCAAUACAGAGAAAAAUAAUAUAGCAUAUUAGAAUAUAUAUAUUAUACAACUAAAUUCUAAACAUUGAAUGAAAUGUAAUGACAUGACUCAUCGAG